GAUGAGCGCUGGCGGCGUGCUUAACACAUGCAAGUCGAACGAUUGAAGCUGGAGCUUGCUCCGGCCGAUUUAGUGGCGGACGGGUGAGUAACGCGUGGGUAACCUGCCUCAUACAGGGGGAUAGCAGUUGGAAACGACUGGUAAAACCGCAUAAGCGCACGGUGUCGCAUGACACAGUGUGAAAACACUCCGGUGGUAUGAGAUGGACCCGCGUCUGAUUAGCUAGUUGGUGAGGUGACGGCCCACCAAGGCGACGAUCAGUAGCCGGCCUGAGAGGGUGAACGGCCACAUUGGGACUGAGACACGGCCCAAACUCCUACGGGAGGCAGCAGUGGGGAAUAUUGCACAAUGGGGGAAACCCUGAUGCAGCGACGCCGCGUGAGUGAUGAAGUAUUUCGGUAUGUAAAGCUCUAUCAGCAAGGAAG
RNAcentral lists this ribosomal RNA (425 nucleotides) under uncultured bacterium. RNAcentral describes it as "bacterial SSU rRNA". It matches the Rfam family "Bacterial small subunit ribosomal RNA", at positions 28 to 447 of the family's 1533-position model. The record is from RNAcentral.